This 471-nucleotide ribosomal RNA is filed under the name uncultured bacterium. RNAcentral describes it as "bacterial SSU rRNA". It matches the Rfam family "Bacterial small subunit ribosomal RNA", at positions 60 to 524 of the family's 1533-position model. The record is from RNAcentral.
AGUCGAACGGCAGCACGGGUGCUUGCACCUGGUGGCGAGUGGCGGACGGGUGAGUAAUGCCUAGGAAUCUGCCUGGUAGUGGGGGAUAACGUUCGGAAACGGACGCUAAUACCGCAUACGUCCUGAGGGAGAAAGCGGGGGACCGCAAGGCCUCGCGCGAUGAGAGCGGCCGAUGUCAGAUUAGCUAGUUGGUGAGGUAAAGGCUCACCAAGGCGACGAUCUGUAGCGGGUCUGAGAGGAUGAUCCGCCACACUGGGACUGAGACACGGCCCAGACUCCUACGGGAGGCAGCAGUGGGGAAUUUUGGACAAUGGGGGAAACCCUGAUCCAGCCAUGCCGCGUGAGUGAAGAAGGCCUUCGGGUUGUAAAGCUCUUUCGGCCGGGAAAAAAUUGCACGGAUGAACAGUCUGUGUAGAUGAUGGUACCGGACUAAGAAGCACCGGCUAACUACGUGCCAGCAGCCGCGGUAAU